Molecule: ribosomal RNA, 433 nt
Filed under: uncultured bacterium
Lineage: Bacteria
Description: partial 16S ribosomal RNA
Rfam family: Bacterial small subunit ribosomal RNA
Source: RNAcentral
AACGAACGCUGGCGGCAGGCCUAACACAUGCAAGUCGAGCGAGACCUUCGGGUCUAGCGGCGGACGGGUGAGUAACGCGUGGGAACGUGCCCUUUUCUACGGAAUAGCCUCGGGAAACUGAGCGUAAUACCGUAUACGCCCUUUGGGGGAAAGAUUUAUCGGAGAAGGAUCGGCCCGCGUUGGAUUAGGUAGUUGGUGUGGUAAUGGCCUACCAAGCCUACGAUCCAUAGCUGGUUUGAGAGGAUGAUCAGCCACACUGGGACUGAGACACGGCCCAGACUCCUACGGGAGGCAGCAGUGGGGAAUCUUAGACAAUGAGGGCAACCCUGAUCUAGCCAUGCCGCGUGAGUGAUGAAGGCCUUAGGGUUGUAAAGCUCUUUCAGCUGGGAAGAUAAUGACGGUACCAGCAGAAGAAGCCCCGGCUAACUCCGUG